UGGGCAACCUGCCCCAGACUCAGGGAUAACCCCGGGGAAACCGGGGCUAAUACCCGAUACUCCGGUCGAACCACAUGGCUCGAUCGGGAAAGCUCUGACGGUCUGGGAUGGGCCCGCGGCCUAUCAGCUUGUUGGUGGGGUAACGGCCUACCAAGGCGACGACGGGUAGCCGGCCUGAGAGGGUGACCGGCCACACUGGGACUGAGACACGGCACAGACUCCUACGGGAG
This 230-nucleotide ribosomal RNA is filed under the name uncultured bacterium. RNAcentral's name for it is "partial 16S ribosomal RNA". It matches the Rfam family "Bacterial small subunit ribosomal RNA", at positions 118 to 347 of the family's 1533-position model. The record is from RNAcentral.